This is a long non-coding RNA of Periophthalmus magnuspinnatus, 350 nucleotides long. RefSeq lists it as uncharacterized. The record is from RefSeq and is a predicted model, not a curated record. Lineage: Eukaryota; Metazoa; Chordata; Actinopteri; Gobiiformes; Gobiidae. The transcript is spliced from 3 exons.
CUGGGUCUGGGUCUAGUCUUAGUCCGAGAGAAUCACCGGGACUCGGAGGGAGAUGAGCCCGGACAUGGCGCGCCCUCCUCGGCCGCGGGCAGCCCUCCGGCCUCGGUGACCACGUGGAACUUCGUGCGGGAGACGGGAGUCCCCUCCGGAGGUGGAAACUGCUCCUCAGCCUCUGAUUGGACAGAACCCACCUUCUUCUGCAGCCAAUCACAGCUCUUCGUUCGCUUCCACAGAUCCAGGUUUUCUGAAAUCCAAUUGGACGAUGGAGUGCCUCAGGUCUGUCGUUCUUCACUUCAUGCAGACGGUUCCUGGUGGUUGUUCAAAGUGGCGUUCUCCUGCCGCACUGCAUC